AUCACAUCCUGGGGCUGAAGUAGGUCCCAAGGGUAUGGCUGUUCGCCAUUUAAAGUGGUACGCGAGCUGGGUUUAGAACGUCGUGAGACAGUUCGGUCCCUAUCUGCCGUGGGCGCUGGAGAACUGAGGGGGGCUGCUCCUAGUACGAGAGGACCGGAGUGGACGCAUCACUGGUGUUCGGGUUGUCAUGCCAAUGGCACUGCCCGGUAGCUAAAUGCGGAAGAGAUAAGUGCUGAAAGCAUCUAAGCACGAAACUUGCCCCGAGAUGAGUUCUCCCUGACUCCUUGAGAGUCCUGAAGGAACGUUGAAGACGACGACGUUGAUAGGCCGGGUGUGUAAGCGCAGCGAUGCGUUGAGCUAACCGGUACUAAUGAACCGUGAGG
This 383-nucleotide ribosomal RNA is filed under the name Escherichia coli. RNAcentral describes it as "partial 23S ribosomal RNA". It matches the Rfam family "Bacterial large subunit ribosomal RNA", at positions 2539 to 2916 of the family's 2925-position model. Lineage: Bacteria; Pseudomonadati; Pseudomonadota; Gammaproteobacteria; Enterobacterales; Enterobacteriaceae. The record is from RNAcentral.